AGCUACAAAGGGCACAGUGGUGGAUGCUCUGGCGCCAGGAGGCGAUGAAGGACGUGAGAGGCUGCGAUAAGCCACGGGGAGCCGCCAACUAGGCACCGAUCCGUGGAUUUCCGAAUGGGACAACCUGCUGGGGGUCAUACUCCAGUAUCCGACCGGUGAAUUCAUAGCCGGCGGAAGCCAACCGAGGGGAGUGAAACAUCUCAGUACCUCGAGGAAUAAAAAGCAACCGCGAUUUCCUCAGUAGCGGCGAGCGAACGGGAAACAGCCUAAACCGGCCGGGUGCGAUACCCCGUGAGGGUUAUCCGGUCGGUGUCGCGGGAGCGACCGUGCACUUUCACGGAAGUGCGGACGAGUCACCAAGAACGACGUUAGCCGAAGUGGAGCUGGAAAGCUCUGCCACAGAGGGUGAAAGCCCCGUAGGCGAAAACGUGCGUUCCUCGUCUGGUCGUUUCCCAAGUAGAGCGGGUCACGUGGAAGCCCGCUUGAAUCCGGGUGGACCAUCACCCAAGGCUAAACACUACCUGGC
RNAcentral lists this ribosomal RNA (526 nucleotides) under uncultured bacterium. RNAcentral's name for it is "bacterial LSU rRNA". It matches the Rfam family "Bacterial large subunit ribosomal RNA", at positions 1 to 481 of the family's 2925-position model. The record is from RNAcentral.